RNAcentral lists this ribosomal RNA (466 nucleotides) under uncultured bacterium. RNAcentral's name for it is "partial 16S ribosomal RNA". It matches the Rfam family "Bacterial small subunit ribosomal RNA", at positions 28 to 523 of the family's 1533-position model. The record is from RNAcentral.
GAUGAACGCUGGCGGCGUGCCUAACACAUGCAAGUCGAGCGAACCCUUCGGGGUGAGCGGCGGACGGGUGAGUAACGCGUGGGUAACCUGCCCUAUACACACGGAUAACGUACCGAAAGGUACGCUAAUACGGGAUAAAGUUGUUGGAUGGCAUCUUCUAACAAUCAAAGCUCCGGCGGUAUAGGAUGGACCCGCGUCUGAUUAGCUAGUUGGUGAGGUAAUGGCUCACCGAGGCGACGAUCAGUAGCCGACCGGAGAGGGUGAUCGGCCACACUGGAACUGAGACACGGUCCAGACUCCUACGGGAGGCAGCAGUGGGGAAUAUUGCACAAUGGGCGAAAGCCUGAUGCAGCAACGCCGCGUGAGCGAUGAAGGUCUUCGGAUCGUAAAGCUCUGUCCUCAAGGAAGAUAAUGACGGUACUUGAGGAGGAAGCCCCGGCUAACUACGUGCCAGCAGCCGCAGUAA